Molecule: ribosomal RNA, 228 nt
Filed under: uncultured bacterium
Lineage: Bacteria
Description: partial 16S ribosomal RNA
Rfam family: Bacterial small subunit ribosomal RNA
Source: RNAcentral
GUAAUAUAUAGCUAACCUGCCCCUUAGAGAGGGACAACAGUUGGAAACGACUGCUAAUACCUCAUACUCCUUUUUAACAUAUGUUAGAUUGGGAAAUGCUCCGGCGCUAAGGGAUGGGGCUUUACGGUAUCAGGUAGUUGGUGGGGUAAAAGCCUACCAAGCCUAUGACGCCUAGCUGGUCUGAGAGGAUGACCAGCCACACUGGAACUGAGACACGGUCCAGACUCC